Long non-coding RNA from Mirounga angustirostris (Northern elephant seal), 3067 nucleotides. RefSeq lists it as uncharacterized. The transcript is spliced from 2 exons. Lineage: Eukaryota; Metazoa; Chordata; Mammalia; Carnivora; Phocidae. The record is from RefSeq and is a predicted model, not a curated record.
AUUUAAAUUAAAAGUAUUUUGGAUAGGAAAAGCAAAAUAUUAAUUAUACAAUUAUUUUAGCACAACCAAGCAGUGCUUGGUUUGCAUUUAUAUUUUUUCUCAUUUUAGAUUCUUGUUGAAAACAAAAUAUCAGAAGGUUAAAGGCAAAAAUUACCUUAAGUUACUUUUUAAAACAGCUCUUGAGCCAAAAUGCUGUAUCUUUUUCUAAUUCUUUUUGUCUUUUCCAUCUGCUUAUUGUCAACCUCAAGAAUCAAGAUAAUAGGGGCGCCUGGGUGGCUCAGUCAUUUUGGCAUCCAGCUCCUGAUCUCAGCUCAGGUCUUGGUCUCAGGGUUGUGGGUUCAAGGUAUAUGUCGCUUGGGCAUAGCCUCCCCCACUCAGUGGACACAGAAAGUGUAGCUGGUGCCAGUAUUUAUUAUGGGACAAGCAUCAGAAAUUUUGUGGUUUAAUUUUCAAGGUUUUAAAUUCCCUUUUUUAAUUUAAAACCUGGAAGCUUAAAAAGACCCUUAAAUAAUAUUUUCCCUGCUUCCCACAGAAAUGAAGCUUUUAGAGUUGUUUUUAUAAGAAAUUUUGAUGUAAUUAAUAUGAUACUUUUUAUUUCAAAUACAUAAUCAAAAGUUGUGUAAGAUGCAGGAUGCUGGGGGGAAGGGUACAUGGGAAUUCCCUCUCUAUUUCUUUGUUUACCUUCCUGUGAAGCUACAUAAUUAUUUCAAACUAAAAUGUUUUUAAGAGAAUUACAUUUUAUUGUAUUCAUGUGGCUAUAUAAUAAUAAUUAUACAUAAGUUUUUAAAAAAAAGAUUGUACUGCGAAAAUACAAUACAGUCUAUCACUAAUAAACUAUUUUAAAAUUCAGGAGAUACUCAGUGAUUGUUUAUUGAGUGUUAGUACACUAGACCAUAUUUACACUACCUUCUAAGGCCUAUAAAAGAGAAUUUAUUGGAUUACUUGUUCAUCUAGUCUAUCUGUAGCAUUUUAUAGACAGGAAAUUGAAGCUGAAUGUCUAGUUUAGGAUCUGUGAAGAAUGGGGGUUUGCUAAGCUCUAGUCCAUUAUUUCCAUACUUGGUAAUAUUUGCUGUUGAAUUAUUGUGUCUCUAAAAUAAAAUUCAUUAUUCUCACCAAGUCCAGCUUCUUCUUUAUUACAUAUUUGUGCUCUUCUCAUCACUAAGUUUCAAAAAACCUUAGGUUUGUUUUGCCUUUCCUUCAGUUAGGGAUCUUGUAUUUUACUUCUUUCUGUUUCCUAUUACCUUGCCAAGAGUUGGCUCGCUCCCUAAAUGUUUGAACUAAAAAGAAUAAUUUUAAAAUAUUUUAUUAAUAACUGACCAGUGAAGAUUGAUAGACUGUUGGUCUAGCUACUUUAAUAAGAAGAAUAAAAUUAAAAAAAAAAAUUUUGUUUCAUUAGCCUAAGUAUUUUUUUAAAGGAGUUAUAAACAUUCCACAGUCAAAUGUAAUUGAAGAUGUUUUAUUUAAAAAUUACUUUUUACUAUACAUAGCACUGAUAAAAACCAGUACCUAGAUCUUGAUGAGUAGAAUUGGAAUUGAAGCUAAAUGCUACAGGGGAGAGACUCUUAAGAUACCUUAAAAAUUGCUUGUUAACGACUUAGAUCUUAGCAAUAAGUUUUUACCUGCAUUGUGUUUGUCCUUAGAUUUGGAAAAUACCCGUCACAACGUACAGGUUAACAUAAUGACUAACUGAUUUUCUCACUAGUGCCUCACAUGAUCCUGGGUACAGUAAAAAUGGAAAGAUAAUAAUAUCUUUAAAGGGAAAAUUGAGCUAAGUGUAAAUACAGUUUUUAAAAACUUGAUUAGUGAAAUGACCAUGACUGGAAUAAUCAGGAGAUUGCCUUUCUUAUCAGGAAGUUCCAUCCGUAAAAUUUUUUUAUUAACUAUAUGUCUAUAAGUGUAGGCUAAUACUAGAAGUAGAUUUCUUGCUUCUAGCAUAAUAUCAUAGGAUAAGAAUAGUAAUCCAAGAGAAAGCACAUUUUCGAUCAUCACUUAUAAGCAUUAACUGUGUGGAAAGUGUUUUACUAGAGGCUCAGGUUGCAAAGGUAAAGUAUAAAUUUUACCCCUACUCUUAAGGAAAGUAUAAGCAGUUGGGAAUUCAGAACUCUAGAUCAGAGCUGUCCAAUAAGAAGUACACAGAGUCACGUGUGCUUUUAAAUUUUCUAGUGUCUAUAUUAAAAAGGUUUUAAAAAGUGAAAUUAGUUAUGUAUUUUAUUUAACUGAGUAUGUCCAGAGUAUUAUCAUUUUAACAUAUAAUCAGUAUAAAAAUAUGAAUGAGAUAUUUCAUGUCUUUUUCUCCACCCUAAAAAUAUUUAAACUCUGGUGUGUAUUUUAUACUUUCAGCACCUCUUAAUUCAAACUAGCCACAUUUCAAGUGCUCAAUAUGUCUAGUGGCUACUAUAUUGGAUAAAGAAACUCUAGAUAACAAAGUGGUGGAACCUCAGAGAAGAAGAAAACGGUAAAGCCUAGGCUAUAGGCUAGUUAUAAAAGUUGUAAAAGUGAGAUCUAAGAAUCUUUCUUUCUGAAUAAGAAAGAUAAAGAUAUAGCUAUGAGGUAGAUACUGUUAUUCUUAAUUUAUAGGUAAGGAAACUGAAGUCACAGUGCAGAAAAGUGGCAGAGGCAGAACUUACUAAUGUGUUCAUUUUAGGCCUUUUUCUAUACUAUAGCUCCUUCACUAAUACUACAAAGAAUGAUUUGUAUAACUGUUUUGACAUGUGGUUCAUGUAUAUAGUAGCUCCAGUUCUAGCAGUAGUAAAUUCAGUGUAAUAAAUGACUGCGUAUAACAAAGGUAUUCUCAGGUCUUGGCUCAAGGAUAAGGGAUGUAAAAGAAAACCUAGACUCCAUUAUCAUUAGACAGAAAGUUGAGCCAGAAUUCAGCUAUUUAUUAGAAUUGUAUGUUUUUUAUCCUAAUAGAUAGAACUUACCUCCUCUGUUUCUUUUUACCUCUUCUACCUCUGGUAUUCCAACUAUCUGAAUUCCUAAAUUGGUUAAAUAAAAAGAUGGGAAACCCUUCUGGAGCUGGAAAGUGGGAAGAUGUAUAAAUGAGGACUGUUAAAUUUCUUCUUUCCUA